This 468-nucleotide ribosomal RNA is filed under the name uncultured bacterium. Its description in RNAcentral is "partial 16S ribosomal RNA". It matches the Rfam family "Bacterial small subunit ribosomal RNA", at positions 28 to 507 of the family's 1533-position model. The record is from RNAcentral.
GACGAACGCUGGCGGCGUGCUUAACACAUGCAAGUCGAACGGAAAGGCCCUGCUUUUGCGGGGUGCUCGAGUGGCGAACGGGUGAGUAACACGUGAGUAACCUGCCCUUGACUUUGGGAUAACUUCAGGAAACUGGGGCUAAUACCGGAUAGGAGCUCUUGCUGCAUGGUGGGGGUUGGAAAGUUUCGGCGGUUGGGGAUGGACUCGCGGCUUAUGAGCUUGUUGGUGGGGUAGUGGCUUACCAAGGCUUUGACGGGUAGCCGGCCUGAGAGGGUGACCGGCCACAUUGGGACUGAGAUACGGCCCAGACUCCUACGGGAGGCAGCAGGGGGGAAUAUUACGCAAUGGGCGGAAGCCAGAUGCAGCAACGCCGCGUGCGUGAUAACGGCCUUCGAGUUAUAAACCGCUUUCGCCUGUGACGAAGCGUGAGUGACGGUAAUGGGUAAAGAAGCACCGGCUAACUACGUG